Long non-coding RNA from Pimephales promelas (fathead minnow), 734 nucleotides. RefSeq lists it as uncharacterized. Lineage: Eukaryota; Metazoa; Chordata; Actinopteri; Cypriniformes; Leuciscidae. The record is from RefSeq and is a predicted model, not a curated record.
CCACGUGGAGCCUACCUACGAAAACAUGGCAUUCCUCUGCGUGCAAUCAAACAAUAUUACAAAGUCACCACACAGCCUGUGCAGACAUGCAAUAGGCCUGUCUAAUGAACAAGUCAGUGAGUGCAUGAAAACCUGAGAGCUGUUAAAGAACACAAAAGAAGAUAAUUUGAAGAAUGUUUUGGCUGUUUUAAUCUGUACAAUUAAUGUCAACAGAGUCCAGGGGCUGAAAUGAUUGGUCAUAAGAAGAAAGUAUGUGGCUGAGAAGAAUAAAAGAAAACAGAAAGUGGAAAGAAGUGAGCGGUGUGGACGCAGUCUGUUUAUUUUGGAGUGGUUUUGCACCGGAGCCCAGGCCAUUGGCGGCUCAGAGACCAUCCUCCCGUGUCCCAUGAAGGUGAAGUGGGGUGGGGAGAGAGAGAGAGAGCGAUGGGUCCUCGGGCUGGGGCGGGACCAGGCUCUGCACAGCAGGGAGGACGUGAGCGAAGCGUUCCAAGAGGAAACGGUGAGGCCACACUGUGAUUAGUGGUUGCAGUUUAACUGCAGAAAAAUGCAUGGUCCAAGCCCAGCGAGAGAGGGUGGUUUCACUGGUCUCACCGAGCCUGUGACUCAGGGUCUCUCGGUACUGGACUGGAGUUUGUUUGCGCAGCUCUUUGCUGCAUCUCGUUUUCACAAUUAAUUUUAAAGCAGCAUUUUGUGGCAUUUCCAAGCAUUUAAAUAUGGGGUUUUCCAGAAUUACA